AUUUUCGGAGGGGGGGCCCUAUACCUGCAAGUCGAGCGGACAGAAGGGAGCUUGCUCCCGGAUGUUAGCGGCGGACGCCUGAUUAACACGUGGGUAACCUGCCUGUAAGACUGGGAUAACUCCGGGAAACCGGAGCUAAUACCGGAUAGUUCCUUGAACCGCAUGGUUCAAGGAUGAAAGACGGUUUCGGCUGUCACUUACAGAUGGACCCGCGGCGCAUUAGCUAGUUGGUGAGGUAACGGCUCACCAAGGCGACGAUGCGUAGCCGACCUGAGAGGGUGAUCGGCCACACUGGGACUGAGACACGGCCCAGACUCCUACGGGAGGCAGCAGUAGGGAAUCUUCCGCAAUGGACGAAAGUCUGACGGAGCAACGCCGCGUGAGUGAUGAAGGUUUUCGGAUCGUAAAGCUCUGUUGUUAGGGAAAAACAAGUGCAAGAGUAACUGCUUGCACCUUGACGGUACCUAACCAGAAGGCCACGGCUAACUACGUGCCAGCAGCCGCGGUAAUACGUAGGUGGCAAGCGUUGUCCGGAAU
RNAcentral lists this ribosomal RNA (537 nucleotides) under Bacillus pumilus. Its description in RNAcentral is "bacterial SSU rRNA". It matches the Rfam family "Bacterial small subunit ribosomal RNA", at positions 33 to 551 of the family's 1533-position model. Lineage: Bacteria; Bacillati; Bacillota; Bacilli; Caryophanales; Bacillaceae. The record is from RNAcentral.